RNAcentral lists this ribosomal RNA (585 nucleotides) under uncultured bacterium. Its description in RNAcentral is "bacterial SSU rRNA". It matches the Rfam family "Bacterial small subunit ribosomal RNA", at positions 338 to 916 of the family's 1533-position model. The record is from RNAcentral.
CCUACGGGAGGCAGCAGUGGGGAAUUUUGGACAAUGGGCGAAAGCCUGAUCCAGCAAUGCCGCGUGAGUGAAGAAGGCCUUCGGGUUGUAAAGCUCUUUUGUCAGGGAAGAAACGGUGAGAGCUAAUAUCUCUUGCUAAUGACGGUACCUGAAGAAUAAGCACCGGCUAACUACGUGCCAGCAGCCGCGGUAAUACGUAGGGUGCAAGCGUUAAUCGGAAUUACUGGGCGUAAAGCGUGCGCAGGCGGUUUUGUAAGUCUGAUGUGAAAUCCCCGGGCUCAACCUGGGAAUUGCAUUGGAGACUGCAAGGCUAGAAUCUGGCAGAGGGGGGUAGAAUUCCACGUGUAGCAGUGAAAUGCGUAGAUAUGUGGAGGAACACCGAUGGCGAAGGCAGCCCCCUGGGUCAAGAUUGACGCUCAUGCACGAAAGCGUGGGGAGCAAACAGGAUUAGAUACCCUGGUAGUCCACGCCCUAAACGAUGUCUACUAGUUGUCGGGUCUUAAUUGACUUGGUAACGCAGCUAACGCGUGAAGUAGACCGCCUGGGGAGUACGGUCGCAAGAUUAAAACUCAAAUGAAUUGACGA